GAUGAACGCUGGCGGCGUGCCUAAUACAUGCAAGUCGAGCGAACGGACGAGAAGCUUGCUUCUCUGAUGUUAGCGGAGGACGGGAGAGUAACACGUGGAUAACCUACCUAUAAGACUGGGAUAACUUCGGGAAACCGUAGCUAAUACCGGAUAAUAUUUUGAACCGCAUGGUUCAAAAGUGAAAGACGGUCUUGCUGUCACUUAUAGAUGGAUCCGGGCUGCAUUAGCUAGUUGGUAAGGUAACGGCUUACCAAGGCAACGAUGCAUAGCCGACCUGAGAGGGUGAUCGCCCACACGGGAACUGGGACACGGUCCAGACUCCUAAGGGAGGCAGCAGUAGGGAAUGUGCCGCAGUGGGCGAAAGCCUGACAGAGCAACGCCGCGUGAGUGAUGAAGGUCUUCGGAGCGUAAAACUCUGUUAUUAGGGAAGAACAUAUGUGUAAGUAACUGUGCACAUCUUGACGGUACCUAAUCAGAAAGCCACGGCUAACUACGUG
RNAcentral lists this ribosomal RNA (497 nucleotides) under uncultured bacterium. RNAcentral describes it as "partial 16S ribosomal RNA". It matches the Rfam family "Bacterial small subunit ribosomal RNA", at positions 28 to 507 of the family's 1533-position model. The record is from RNAcentral.